GGAUGUGAGGGCCACCGGCUGCAAUAUCUGUCAUGCCAGUUCUCCAGGAUGGAUCUGGCACAUGUGGUGGGCUAGCUGAGUGUAUCCUUCCUCCCUCACUGUACAGCCCUCCUGAACCUUCCCCCAUAGAGCAGGACCAUUCUUCAGUCAAGGGUAUACAGUGGCACUCCCCUGCUAGAGGCUCCCAGCAAGCUCUCAAGGCCCACAGCAGCAUCACCCACUAGAGCCAAAAGGUGGAAGUUACCCAAGUGUGCAUGGACGGAUGACUAUGGAAUGUAGUAUAUACACAGAAU
Non-coding RNA from Felis catus (domestic cat), 293 nucleotides. NCBI's taxonomy places the organism in Eukaryota, Metazoa, Chordata, Mammalia, Carnivora, Felidae. The record is from Rfam.